UAAUACGGAGGGUGCAAGCGUUAUCCGGAAUCAUUGGGUUUAAAGGGUCCGCAGGCGGUCAAUUAAGUCAGAGGUGAAAUCCCAUAGCUUAACUAUGGAACUGCCUUUGAUACUGGUUGACUUGAGUUAUACGGAAGUAGAUAGAAUGUGUAGUGUAGCGGUGAAAUGCAUAGAUAUUACACAGAAUACCGAUUGCGAAGGCAGUCUACUACGUAUAUACUGACGCUCAUGGACGAAAGCGUGGGGAGCGAACAGGAUUAGAUACCCUGGUAGUCCACGCCGUAAACGAUGGACACUAGUUGUUGGGAUUUAUCUCAGUGACUAAGCGAAAGUGAUAAGCGUCCCACCUGGGGAGUACGGUCGCAAGAUUG
RNAcentral lists this ribosomal RNA (371 nucleotides) under uncultured Bacteroidota bacterium. RNAcentral's name for it is "bacterial SSU rRNA". It matches the Rfam family "Bacterial small subunit ribosomal RNA", at positions 521 to 896 of the family's 1533-position model. Lineage: Bacteria; Pseudomonadati; Bacteroidota. The record is from RNAcentral.